Molecule: transfer RNA, 72 nt
Filed under: Camelus bactrianus (Bactrian camel)
Lineage: Eukaryota; Metazoa; Chordata; Mammalia; Artiodactyla; Camelidae
Also listed under: 2 other names
Rfam family: tRNA
About the family: Transfer RNA (tRNA) molecules are approximately 80 nucleotides in length.
Source: Rfam by way of RNAcentral
GAGGGUAUAGCUCAAGUGGUAGAGCACAUUCUUAGCAUACAUGAGGUCCUGGGUUCAAUCCCCAGUCCCUCU